CUAUUAGGUUGGCAGGAGCUGGGACAAGGAUGGGAGCUUACCCCCUCCUGUGGCACUGAGGUCUCAAACCAGGGCUACCAUCUUUCCAGCCAAGAAGCCCAAUGUCUUAAUCGCUGAGCCACCAUGCCACCCCAGAUCAGAAAGAGUAGCUUUUUUAAAAAAACUGUAGUUUGAAUUUAAAUUCAAUUCAAUGAAGAGGCUUAGAGACUACAACUGGGAGUCCAUAAUGCAUAGUUUGAAUUUAAGCAAAGAUCUAAAGUCAACUGGAAGUAAGAGUGAAUAUGUUCUGAACAGGAGUGCUAAAUUCUGGAUAAAUGUUCUAAGAGAUCUGAG
Molecule: long non-coding RNA, 333 nt
Organism: Pantherophis guttatus
Lineage: Eukaryota; Metazoa; Chordata; Lepidosauria; Squamata; Colubridae
Source: RefSeq, a predicted model, not a curated record